AAUAAUAAUCAUGAGCACCUGUUGUAAUUUGUUACCAGUGAAGCACUACAGCCACCAUAUCGAAGUCUUGUAGGCUGUAGCUACUCUGCUUUAUGUCCAGUAAAAGUUGCAGUAACCCUAAAAAUCAACAGGUAAACUAGUCAAGAAAGCUAAUGUAAGAGGAGACGUGGACUUCCCGAACAAAGAACACCACUGAGGAAGCUUCCCAAGUACUGUUUCAGUUGGGGAAGUUAUUCUAUCAACAUCUGUCCGUAGUUUUAGCAAAGGUUGCUUUGUGUUGCUAUCCUUCCUGUGAGUUUGAUUGUUGGCCCAGAAAAGAGUCAGACUGAAUUUCCUUGGUGCCUUGUUCCCUCCUGAAAACUGAAUUAUGUGCCAUGAGUCUGCAUUGCUCUUGUCACCAAUUGGAACCAACUCCUCAGGACCGUCUUUCAACUGGAAAUCCUCGACUUCAUCAGUGUUGAUACCCAGAGUCCAGCGUGUGGAAAGUUUAGUGUCAAUGGAUACAUGAGUUACUCUAUUGUCACCGUUGAUAUCAUUCUCAACAUGAAUCAGAGGAAUAUCUGUCUCAUGCCAGCCAAUAUUAGCAUUUUUGUCACUCCAACAACCAUACUUGACCGAAAAUGUUACAAAAUCAAGAGGCUUAACAGUGCCGCAAGUAAAUCCUUCUCCAAUCUGUUCAACUUCCUUAACUAGAUUUCCUGGAGUAGUUGAAAAUAAAGAAAUGUAAGAGGCUCGCUCUUGCUUUUUGCCAUUGGCUCCUGCCAUAUCUACAACAUGCACAACAUUUACAGCUCUGGCAGUAUCUUCAGUAAAUGGUGGAACAACACCUAGUUGAAUCACGGUGAGCGAGAUGCCAAACAGAAGACAGGUCGUUAUGAUAAGUGGCACCUUUGCACCUGAAAUAUGAAUAUAUGACAAAAGAUACACCAGCGUCAAACAUGCUAUGGCAGCAAUAAACAUUGCAACUAUUACAUUGCCCAGCCACUCAGGGUUGCUGCCAGGACUCCUUUCUAGUCGAACUGAACUGCCAAUUAGUGUAGAAACCGAAUGAAUAAUUAUGCCAGAAGAAAGCAAGCAAGGCACAGAUGAUCCAAUCAGCAAGGUGACCGUUUUGAGUGGUUUUGGCAGCCGUGCUGGUGACAAAGUUGCUUCAAGCAAUCCAUAUGCAAAUGCAGGAGAGGCUAGCCAAGCAAGAGCCAAAUAAGAUGAUCCUAUUUUGUAAAAGUUCCCCACAAUCAAAAGA
This 1243-nucleotide unclassified non-coding RNA is filed under the name Hevea brasiliensis (rubber tree). Lineage: Eukaryota; Viridiplantae; Streptophyta; Magnoliopsida; Malpighiales; Euphorbiaceae. The record is from RNAcentral.